CCUAUGGGAGGCAGCAGUGAGGAAUAUUGGUCAAUGGUCGGGAGACUGAACCAGCCAAGCCGCGUGAGGGAGGAAGGUACAGAGGAUUGUAAACCUCUUUUGUCGGGGAACAAAAGCGGGGACGUGUCCCCGGCUGCGUGUAUCUGAAGAAAAAGCAUCGGCUAACUCCGUGCCAGCAGCCGCGGUAAUACGGAGGAUGCGAGCGUUAUCCGGAUUUAUUGGGUUUAAAGGGUGCGCAGGCGGUCUGUUAAGUCAGCGGUAAAAUCGCGGGGCUCACCCCCGGCGAGCCGUUGAAACUGGCAGUCUCGAGUUGGAGAGAAGUAUGCGGAAUGCGCGGUGUAGCGGUGAAAUGCAUAGAUAUCGCGCAGAACUCCGAUUGCGAAGGCAGCGUACCGGCGCCACACUGACGCUGAGGCACGAAAGCGUGGGGAUCGAACAGGAUUAGAUACCCGAGUAGUC
This 459-nucleotide ribosomal RNA is filed under the name uncultured bacterium. RNAcentral's name for it is "partial 16S ribosomal RNA". It matches the Rfam family "Bacterial small subunit ribosomal RNA", at positions 338 to 795 of the family's 1533-position model. The record is from RNAcentral.